CCCUAAACCGGCAAGGUAUGUAGGGUGUCUCGUUAGAUGGCAUUGUGGCUGGGCUCUGUUGGAAUCGGUAGCUCGAUCGUGGGAUACAGGCGCAUCGCCAUGUCGCCUCACGUCCGCUGCGGAGCAGCAGCCGACCCAAAUGGAUCGAAUGGGGCUUUUCGGGCCCGGGACGAUCAAUCCAGCUUCCGGGCGAGCAGGAUCACGGAGCAGGCCAAGGACACCAGCCUGAGCAGCUUCGAAGGGAGCGAGAUCAACGCGCCGUUUGGGUUUGGCCAGUACUCCCACAAGAGCGCCGAGCCGCAGGAGGACAAGAGCCGGGCGAGCUUUGAAGGAAUCGACAAGCAUUCUCCCGCCAAGGAUUCUCGCUCUCCUGCCGUGGACGAAGAACAGUGGAAGAGUGUCUUCCCUGCCUACAUCCAGAGUGGAGGUGGGGAUGAUCACUGUGGCGAUGGAGUCGUUGGUGGCGAAGUCUCGGCGGCCAAGGCAGCCGCCGAGUCCGUGAAAGAGCUCGAGUCACACGUAAGUACUCCAUUGUCAGCGCCACCUUGUUCCAGUGCCAAGCCUCCAAAAGAAGGUGGAAGAAAUCUCUCCGAGCUUAUAACUCACGAUCCAAUCUGGGCAGCAAUCCGGGCCGAAGCACGGCUUGAGGCAGAGAAAGAGCCACUUCUGAGCAGUUUUCUGUAUGCUAGUAUACUGGCUCAUCCUUGUUUCGAGCGCUCUGUGGGCUUUGUUCUCGCCAACCGGCUGAAGAAUGUGACCCUCUUGGCGACGCAGCUCUUGGACGUUUUCGACGAUGUCUUCACGCACGAGCCUCAAGUCCAGGAAGCUAUUCGUCUGGAUGUCCAGGCCGUGAGAAGUCGCGAUCCAUCGUGCAGAUCUUACAGUUCGGCUCUCCUGUACUUAAAGGGCUAUCACGCUUUGCAAUCCUACAGAGUAGCUCAUGCGCUUUGGAAUCGCGGGCAGCGAGUGUUGGCGCUCGCAUUGCAAAGCAGAAUCAGUGAGGUGUUUGCUGUAGAUAUCCAUCCAGCUGCGCGAAUCGGGAAAGCUAUAAUGCUUGACCACGGAACGGGCGUAGUGAUCGGAGAGACUUGUGUUAUAGGCGAUAGAGUUUCCUUGAUGCAGGGUGUCACUUUAGGUGGAUCGGGCAAAGAAGCCGGUGACAGGCAUCCCAAAAUCGAAGAAGGGGUGCUCAUUGGAGCUGGAGCAACGAUCCUAGGCAACAUAAGAAUCGGUCGUUGCUCCAUGGUCGCUGCUGGAUCACUGGUUCUUAAAGAUGUGCCUCCACACAGUGUAGCGGCUGGAACUCCUGCCAAAGUCGUAGGAACUCUAGAAGAGCCCACUCCUGCCUUGACGAUGAAACACGAUGCAAUGAGCUGCCAAAUUUCCGACGACAGUCUCUGUGAAGGCGCUGGAAUAUAAGAUGGACAAUUAGAAAGAGAAUCUGUACAUAUAUAAAAGCUGGUAUGUAUUGGUUAGUUGGAAUACUCGAUUCCAGAUCCACGAAAACUCUGGAUUUGUGCUGGCCAGGAGUGCAAUGCACUGCUGGACAUGGCUUAAUUCAUCGUUGAUUGUCCUUUAUUUCGUGAGUUUUCCAAGUGUUUUUCUAUAUGGAUUGCUUAAAGAACUUGUCUUGUUUAAAUUGCGGCGUUGUUGGAGAAAGUUGUGCCUUGAAGCAGGGUGUUACUUUAGGUGGAUAAGUUUUCGGACAAAAUGUGCUACGAACUAGAAGAAGCUUCCCAUCAGGUCUAGCCUCGAUCGCUAAUGGUUUUAUUUGUAGGAACAACGUCUUAUUUGAAGCUAAAACAGAGAGUUCUAAGCAAAACAUCUGAUCCUAGCUCCGGCCAAUGAGGUGAAGAUAAGGCCUUUUGGGGGUAUUGUUCCCAAUCCACCUUUUCUCCUCUCUAGAGUCUCUGGGUAUUGAGAUGGCAGCCAUGGCGACACAAGCAGCAUUGCCUGGCACCAUUGUUGGUCGUGAGUUCCAGGGCCUCAAAGCCAGCACCCGCUUCAGCCGUGCUCAGACCACCACCCUCGCCCUGCCGUCGCUGAGAUGCAGAGGCAAAGGAGCUCUCGGAGCUCGAUGCGGCUUCAUCGGAUCACCCACGAAUCUGAUAAUGGUUGCUUGCACGACGUUGUCUCUCAUCGCGGGGCGAUUUGGAUUGGCACCGUCAGCCAACCGGCAGGCGCUGGCUGGGUUGAAGCUGGUGGACAGAGACUCGGGUCUCCAAACCGGUGAUCCCGCAGGAUUCACAGGAAGCGACACGGUCGCCUUCGGUGUGGUUGGCCACAUUGCGGGUGUUGGUAUUGUUCUUGGCCUUAAAGCCCUUGGAAGCAUUCCAUAGAGUGCCUGGGCACUUGUGUAUAUUCGUUGACAAGAAGGAACACGAAGAAAACAUUGGAUGAAA
Selaginella moellendorffii is the source of this 2402-nucleotide RNA transcript. It is a transcript of the gene named serine acetyltransferase 2, with no coding region annotated. The record is from RefSeq and is a predicted model, not a curated record. The transcript has 13 exons. Lineage: Eukaryota; Viridiplantae; Streptophyta; Lycopodiopsida; Selaginellales; Selaginellaceae.